UACAGAGGUCUCAACCGUUGUUCGGAUUCAUUGGGCGUAAAGGGUGCGUAGGCGGUCGUGCAAGUCGGAUGUGAAAUCUCAGGGCUCAACCCCGGAACUGCACUGGAUACUGCUUUGCUAGAGUACUGGAGAGGGAACUGGAAUUUACGGUGUAGCAGUGAAAUGCGUAGAUAUCGUAAGGAAGACCAGCGGCGAAGGCGAGUUCCUGGACAGUUACUGACGCUGAGGCACGAAGGCCAGGGGAGCAAACGGG
Molecule: ribosomal RNA, 253 nt
Filed under: uncultured bacterium
Lineage: Bacteria
Description: partial 16S ribosomal RNA
Rfam family: Bacterial small subunit ribosomal RNA
Source: RNAcentral